GAGUUUGAUCUUGGCUCAGAUUGAACGCUGGCGGCAUGCCUUACACAUGCAAGUCGAACGGCAGCAUGAUCUAGCUUGCUAGAUUGAUGGCGAGUGGCGAACGGGUGAGUAAUACAUCGGAACGUGCCCUGUAGUGGGGAUAACUAGUCGAAAGAUUAGCUAAUACCGCAUACGACCUGAGGGUGAAAGUGGGGGACCGCAAGGCCUCAUGCUAUAGGAGCGGCCGAUGUCUGAUUAGCUAGUUGUGGGUAAAGGCCCACCAAGGCGACGAUCAGUAGCUGGUCUGAGAGGACGAUCAGCCACACUGGGACUGAGACACGGCCCAGACUCCUACGGGAGGCAGCAGUGGGGAAUUUUGGACAAUGGGCGAAAGCCUGAUCCAGCAAUGUCGCGUGUGUGAAGAAGGCC
Molecule: ribosomal RNA, 408 nt
Filed under: uncultured microorganism
Description: bacterial SSU rRNA
Rfam family: Bacterial small subunit ribosomal RNA
Source: RNAcentral